AGUAACGGCGAGUGAAGCGGGAAGAGCUCAAGCUUAAAAUCUCCGUGCAAGUUUUGCGCGGCGAAUUGUAGUCUAUAGAGGCGUGAUCAGUGUGGGCGCUUGGGGCAAGUUCCUUGGAAGAGGACAGCAUGGAGGGUGAUACUCCCGUUCAUCCCUGAGUUGCUCGUGCGUACGAUCCGUUUUCUUUGAGUCGCGUUGUUUGGGAAUGCAGCGCAAAGUAGGUGGUAAAUUCCAUCUAAAGCUAAAUAUUGGUGCGAGACCGAUAGCGAACAAGUACCGUGAGGGAAAGAUGAAAAGAACUUUGAAAAGAGAGUUAAAGAGUACCUGAAACUGCUGAAAGGGAACCGAAUCGUUUCCAGUGUCUAUAAUCCGUGGUAUAUUUCAUUGGCGAGUGUGUGCGUGCGUGUGCUGUGGCAGCGGCUUUUUUGGCUGCGCUCGGCGUGUGUGCUGUGUGUGCUUGCUGGUGCCCUGUGCUGCGGUGGGACGUCAAGGUCAGUUCGUAUGCUGCGGGAAAUGGCCGCCGAGGAGGUAGGGCUUACGCUUGCGUUUGUCUGUUAUAUCUUGGUGGACGAGUAGUCGCGGUUGGGACUGAGGUGCCUACAACGUGUUUUUGAGUGGGCCUGUGUCUCUGUGUGCGCCGUGUGCGGAUAGCUUGCUAUGCGUGUGUGGUUGUGUGUGGAUUGAUGUGGGUUUUAACUUGUUGCCGUUCGGGACGUUGACGAAAUGGAGCGAUUUGACCCGUCUUGAAACACGGACCAAGGAGUCUAACAUGUGUGCAAGUGUUAGGGUGUGGAAACCCCAGCGCGAAAUGAAAGUGAAGGGCAGCGUAAGUUGUCUGAGGUAGGAAAUGCUGCGGGCUUCGGUCUGCGGUGUGGCACUAUCGACCGAUCAUGAACCUUCGUGGUGAAAGAUUUGAGUUUGAGCACAUAUGUUGGUACCCGAAAGAUGGUGAACUAUGCCUGAGUAGGGUGAAGCCAGGGGAAACUCUGGUGGAAGCUCGUAGCGAUUCUGACGUGCAAAUCGAUCGUCAAACUUGGGUAUAGGGGCGAAAGACUAAUCGAACCAUCUAGUAGCUGGUUCCCUCCGAAAUUUCCCUCAGGAUAGCAGCAACUUAUUUACGAUAGUUUUAUGAGGUAAAGCGAAUGAUUAGAGGAUUCGGGGAAGAAACUUCCUCGACCUAUUCUCAAACUUUAAAUCUGUAAGACCUGCAGGUUUCUUAAUGAACUUGU
RNAcentral lists this ribosomal RNA (1229 nucleotides) under Phytophthora infestans (potato late blight agent). Its description in RNAcentral is "eukaryotic LSU rRNA". It matches the Rfam family "Eukaryotic large subunit ribosomal RNA", at positions 82 to 1104 of the family's 3401-position model. Lineage: Eukaryota; Oomycota; Peronosporomycetes; Peronosporales; Peronosporaceae. The record is from RNAcentral.